CCUUUUGACCAAACUAAAGGAGAAGAAAGAAGAAGAAUACAAUGUGGGAGAUGGGGGAAAAAGAACGUGAAAUUAGGAAAAGGCAAAAAUUUGCAAAAAAAAUUAAAAUCCAAAAAAUAAAAUAAACUAACAUUAUUAGCCACAUGCCUAAAAUCUCUCUAACUCCUCACUAACCCAAACCUACAACUUCAGUAUUCCAGCCCCACCGAAAC
This 212-nucleotide long non-coding RNA is filed under the name Gossypium raimondii (Peruvian cotton). RNAcentral describes it as "long non-coding RNA (GRAI_LNC000960)". The record is from RNAcentral. Lineage: Eukaryota; Viridiplantae; Streptophyta; Magnoliopsida; Malvales; Malvaceae.